UUUGGUUGGCCCCCUGAAAUUAAGCAUAUCAUUAAGCGGAGGAAAAGAAACUAACAAGGAUUUCCCUAGUAGUGGCGAACGACCGGGAAUUASCCCAGCMCCGAAUCCUGUAUCUUUGGUACUAGGAAUUGUGGUGUAAAGGUUGCAUCUUUAGCKGUUUGGUGUGCUCCAAAUUCACUUGAUUGUGAUWUUGYCCAUAGRGGGUGUUARACCCGUUGGGGUACAACUCGGCAGUUAUUGAUGUUUCCUAUGAGUCGGAUUGUUUGAGAAUGCAGUCCAAAUUUGGKGGKAAACUCCAUCUAAGGCUAAAUACUUGUAUGAGYCCRAUAGCAAACAAKUMCCGKGRGGRAAAKUUAAAAAAAAUUUUAAAAAGAGAKUWAAAUAGUACGUGAAAUCGCUUARAGGUAAACGAGUGGAGCCGAAAACGUUGUACGGGAUUCAGUUGUGUAUGUGAUGAUGAUUGGUUUGGUGAAAUCUCUAAAGGAAUUGCCGGAUCGAUAGUGUUUGUUGCAGACGCGAUGCACUUCCUGUACAGCAAAACUGUGACCAAUAGUGUUGUUUUUCUGUCGUAAUGGUGAAGGUGAUCAUUUGCUUGCAAUUGGUUUUAUAGCUCAUUACACGGUUAAAUCUAAUGUAUUGGUGAAUGCGGUUGGUCAAUGUUGGCAAUGUGUUAUAUGUGAGGUUUGGUARCUGACUACUUGUAGACUGUUAUCAGGUUUUGCGUGUGGCAUCRUUGUUGAUGGAUCARUCUAAAGUCGCAKUAUAAUGUAKGUUAUCUACUCGUCCCGUCUUGAAACACGGACCAAGGAGUUUUAUAUGAUCGCGAGUCAAAGGGCCAUACGAAACCCCAGGGCGUAAUUAAUGUAAAGGUUUACUUUAGUAAGCUGAGAUGUGACCUGAUGUAACAGUCAGUGCAACAUCUACCCGUCUGAAGAUGUUCGCAUCUGGGCGGAGUUUGAGCGAUCAUGUAGAGACCCGAAAGAUGGUGAACUAUGCUUGUGCAGGUUGAAGUCAGAGGAAACUCUGAUGGAGGACCGCCGCGGUUCUGACGUGCAAAUCGAUCGUCGGACAUGAGUAUAGGGGCGAAAGACUAAUCGAACCAUC
This 1104-nucleotide ribosomal RNA is filed under the name Gusana melipeucensis. Its description in RNAcentral is "Gusana sp. m ALA-2021 partial large subunit ribosomal RNA". The record is from RNAcentral. Lineage: Eukaryota; Metazoa; Platyhelminthes; Tricladida; Geoplanidae.